RNAcentral lists this ribosomal RNA (180 nucleotides) under Escherichia coli. Its description in RNAcentral is "partial 23S ribosomal RNA". It matches the Rfam family "Bacterial large subunit ribosomal RNA", at positions 2763 to 2925 of the family's 2925-position model. The record is from RNAcentral. Lineage: Bacteria; Pseudomonadati; Pseudomonadota; Gammaproteobacteria; Enterobacterales; Enterobacteriaceae.
GAUAAGUGCUGAAAGCAUCUAAGCACGAAACUUGCCCCGAGAUGAGUUCUCCCUGACUCCUUGAGAGUCCUGAAGGAACGUUGAAGACGACGACGUUGAUAGGCCGGGUGUGUAAGCGCAGCGAUGCGUUGAGCUAACCGGUACUAAUGAACCGUGAGGCUUAACCUUACAACGCCGAAG